This 218-nucleotide ribosomal RNA is filed under the name uncultured Glomeromycotina. Its description in RNAcentral is "partial small subunit ribosomal RNA". The stretch from base 47 to 218 matches the Rfam family "Eukaryotic small subunit ribosomal RNA", at positions 692 to 864 of the family's 1831-position model. Lineage: Eukaryota; Fungi; Glomeromycota. The record is from RNAcentral.
GAAUUUGUCGGUUGGUCGGGCUUCACUGUCCGCACUGGCCUGAUGGAUUCCUACCUUCUGAAUAACCAGCAUGCUAUUAAUUUAGUGCGUUGGGGAAGCAGAGCUAUUACCUUGAAAAAAUUAGAGUGCUUAAAGCAGGCUUACGCUUGAAUAGAUUAGCAUGGAAUAAUAAAAUAGGACGGCUUGGUUCUAUUUUGUUGGUUUCUAGGAUCACCGUA